UACGAAGGGUGCAAACGUUGCUCGGGAAUUAAUUGGGCGUAAAGCGCACGUAGGCGGGCAUUGCAAGUCGGAUGUGAAAUCCCACGGCUUAACCAUGGAAGUGCAUCCGAAACUGCAGUGCUUGAGUACUUAAGAGGAUCGCGGAAUUCCCGGUGUAGAGGUGAAAUUCGUAGAUAUCGGGAGGAACACCAGUGGCGAAGGCGGCGAUCUGGGAAGA
This 217-nucleotide ribosomal RNA is filed under the name uncultured bacterium. RNAcentral describes it as "partial 16S ribosomal RNA". It matches the Rfam family "Bacterial small subunit ribosomal RNA", at positions 524 to 737 of the family's 1533-position model. The record is from RNAcentral.